UAAAAGUAAGUCUCAGUUCGGAUUGAAGGCUGAAAUUCGCCUACAUGAAGCUGGAAUUGCUAGUAAUGGCAGGUCAGCAUACUGCCGUGAAUACGUUCCCGGGCCUUGUACACACCGCCCGUCACACCAUGAGAGUUGGGGAUACCCGAAGCCUGUGAGCCAACUGUAAAGAGGCAGCAGUCGAAGGUAGAAUCAAUGAUUGGGGUGAAGUCGUAACAAGGUAUC
RNAcentral lists this ribosomal RNA (225 nucleotides) under uncultured bacterium. RNAcentral's name for it is "partial 16S ribosomal RNA". It matches the Rfam family "Bacterial small subunit ribosomal RNA", at positions 1276 to 1500 of the family's 1533-position model. The record is from RNAcentral.